This 459-nucleotide ribosomal RNA is filed under the name uncultured bacterium. Its description in RNAcentral is "partial 16S ribosomal RNA". It matches the Rfam family "Bacterial small subunit ribosomal RNA", at positions 338 to 795 of the family's 1533-position model. The record is from RNAcentral.
CCUACGGGUGGCUGCAGUGAGGAAUAUUGGUCAAUGGGCGGAAGCCUGAACCAGCCAAGUAGCGUGCGGGAUGAAGGCCCUACGGGUCGUAAACCGCUUUUGUACGGGGAUAACACCCUCCACUUGUGGAGGUCUGCAGGUACCGUGCGAAUAAGGGCCGGCUAAUUCCGUGCCAGCAGCCGCGGUAAUACGGAAGGCCCGAGCGUUAUCCGGAUUCAUUGGGCUUAAAGGGAGCGUAGGCGGGCGUUCAAGUCAGCUGUAAAAUCGCGCGGCUCAACCGCGCCCCGCAGUUGAAACUGGACGCCUUGAGUUCACAACAGGCAGGCGGAAUUCGUGGUGUAGCGGUGAAAUGCAUAGAUAUCACGAGGAACCCCGAUUGCGAAGGCAGCUCACUGGACUGCAACUGACACUGAGGCUCGAAAGUGUGGGUAUCAAACAGGAUUAGAUACCCUUGUAGUC